This 459-nucleotide ribosomal RNA is filed under the name uncultured bacterium. RNAcentral describes it as "bacterial SSU rRNA". It matches the Rfam family "Bacterial small subunit ribosomal RNA", at positions 40 to 507 of the family's 1533-position model. The record is from RNAcentral.
CGGCGUGCUUAACACAUGCAAAGUCGAACGAGUAACGGGUUAUAGCUUGCUAUAAUUGUCAGCUAAGUGGCGCACGGGUGAGUAAUGUAUAGGUAAUAUGCCUCUUACUAAGGGAUAACAAAUGGAAACGUUUGCUAAUACCUUAUACUCCUUAUUAACUAAAGUUAGUAACGGGAAAGAUUUAUUGGUAAGAGAUUAGCCUGUAUUGUAUCAGUUAGUUGGUGGGGUAAUGGCCUACCAAGACUAUGACGCAUAACUGGUUUGAGAGGAUGAUCAGUCACACUGGAACUGAGACACGGUCCAGACUCCUACGGGAGGCAGCAGUGGGGAAUAUUGCACAAUGGACGAAAGUCUGAUGCAGCAACGCCGCGUGGAGGAUGACACAUUUCGGUGCGUAAACUCCUUUUAUAUAAGAAGAUAAUGACGGUAUUAUAUGAAUAAGCACCGGCUAACUCCGUG